RNAcentral lists this ribosomal RNA (497 nucleotides) under uncultured bacterium. RNAcentral's name for it is "partial 16S ribosomal RNA". It matches the Rfam family "Bacterial small subunit ribosomal RNA", at positions 28 to 507 of the family's 1533-position model. The record is from RNAcentral.
GAUGAACGCUGGCGGCGUGCCUAAUACAUGCAAGUCGAGCGAACGGACGAGAAGCUUGCUUCUCUGAUGUUAGCGGCGGACGGGUGAGUAACACGUGGAUAACCUACCUAUAAGACUGGGAUAACUUCGGGAAACCGGAGCUAAUACCGGAUAAUAUUUUGAACCGCAUGGUUCAAAAGUGAAAGACGGUCUUGCUGUCACUUAUAGAUGGAUCCGCGCUGCAUUAGCUAGUUGGUAAGGUAACGGCUUACCAAGGCAACGAUGCAUAGCCGACCUGAGAGGGUGAUCGGCCACACUGGAACUGAGACACGGUCCAGACUCCUACGGGAGGCAGCAGUAGGGAAUCUUCCGCAAUGGGCGAAAGCCUGACGGAGCAACGCCGCGUGAGUGAUGAAGGCCUUCGGAUCGUAAAACUCUGUUAUUAGGAAAGAACAUAUGUGUAAGUAACUGUGCACAUCUUGACGGUACCUAAUCAGAAAGCCACGGCUAACUACGUG